RNAcentral lists this ribosomal RNA (447 nucleotides) under uncultured bacterium. RNAcentral describes it as "partial 16S ribosomal RNA". It matches the Rfam family "Bacterial small subunit ribosomal RNA", at positions 29 to 523 of the family's 1533-position model. The record is from RNAcentral.
AACGAACGCUGGCGGCAGGCUUAACACAUGCAAGUCGAACGCCCCGCAAGGGGAGUGGCAGACGGGUGAGUAACGCGUGGGAAUCUACCGUGCCCUGCGGAAUAGUUCCGGGAAACUGGAAUUAAUACCGCAUACGCCCUACGGGGGAAAGAUUUAUCGGGGUAUGAUGAGCCCGCGUGGGAUUAGCUAGUUGGUGGGGUAAAGGCCUACCAAGGCGACGAUCCAUAGCUGGUAUGAGAGGAUGAUCAGCCACAUUGGGACUGAGACACGGCCCAAACUCCUACGGGAGGCAGCAGUGGGGAAUAUUGGACAAUGGGCGCAAGCCUGAUCCAGCCAUGCCGCGUGAGUGAUGAAGGCCUUAGGGUUGUAAAGCUCUUUCACCGAUGAAGAUAAUGACGGUAGUCGGAAAAGAAGCCCCGGCUAACUUCGUGCCAGCCGCCGCGGUAA